ACGGCCGUACCAUGCUGAAUAUACCGGUUCUCGUUAGAUCACCGAAGUCAAGCAUCAUUGGGCGCAGUCAGUACUCGGGUGGGUGACCACCUGGGAACACCGCGUGCCGUU
This 111-nucleotide ribosomal RNA is filed under the name Caerostris darwini. Lineage: Eukaryota; Metazoa; Arthropoda; Arachnida; Araneae; Araneidae. The record is from RNAcentral.